UACAGAGGCCCCGAGCAUUACCCGGAAUUACUGGGCGUAAAGGGUGCGUAGGUGGUCAUAUUAGUCGUCUGUUAAAGACCGGGGCUCAACCCCGGACAUGCUGGCGAAACGGUAUGACUUGAGGGCGUGAGAGGUACAUGGAACUCUAGGUGUAGGGGUGAAAUCCGUUGAUAUCUAGGGGAACACCGAAAGCGAAGGCAAUGUACUGGCGCGUUCCUGACACUCAAGCACGAAAGCGUGGGUAGCGAACGGG
Molecule: ribosomal RNA, 253 nt
Filed under: uncultured bacterium
Lineage: Bacteria
Description: partial 16S ribosomal RNA
Rfam family: Bacterial small subunit ribosomal RNA
Source: RNAcentral